This 70-nucleotide transfer RNA is filed under the name Mammilla mammata. Its description in RNAcentral is "tRNA-Tyr". Lineage: Eukaryota; Metazoa; Mollusca; Gastropoda; Littorinimorpha; Naticidae. The record is from RNAcentral.
UUUGUUUGAUGGCUGAGACAUAAGCAAUAGACUGUAGAUCUAUCAACGGAAUUAAGUUUCCUCAACAAAA